This 321-nucleotide ribosomal RNA is filed under the name uncultured bacterium. Its description in RNAcentral is "bacterial SSU rRNA". It matches the Rfam family "Bacterial small subunit ribosomal RNA", at positions 28 to 334 of the family's 1533-position model. The record is from RNAcentral.
GAUGAACGCUAGCGACAGGCUUAACACAUGCAAGUCGAGGGGCAGCGGAGGUGAGUGCUUGCACUUGCCAGACGGCGACCGGCGCACGGGUGAGUAACACGUAUGCGACCUGCCCGUAGCAGGGGGAUAAGCGGAAGAAAUUCCGUCUAAUACCGCGUAAUAUCUUUCGGGGGCAUCCCUGAGAGAUUAAAGGAAGCGAUUCCGGCUACGGAUGGGCAUGCGGCGCAGUAGCUAGUCGGCGGGGUAACGGCCCACCGAGGCGACGAUGCGUAGGGGUUCUGAGAGGAAGGUCCCCCACACUGGUACUGAGACACGGACCAG